UGGGCAAGUUUUCCUCUGCACAGGUUUUGAUAAAUCUCCCCUAUAGAGAAUGUGGAAUACCAUAUACCAGAUAUGACAUGGACAGUCAGACAUUUGAAAAGUGAAGUCUAAAUAAUACGUUGUAAAGGAGAUAACGGAGUAGAAGCCCACCAAAAGCGGAAAAAUAACUGAAGAUGGUGCAAGCAGCCAAAAGACCCUGUUCACAGGUCCAAAAUGUAGACAAAAAGCAGAGCGGUUGCAGCACUCAAAGUCAGUAGUGAACAGGGCGGGCUUCUAGUUCAGGAAUUCAUCGGCGCUGACCGGGAGAAGGACAUCAGACAGUCACUUACUUUGGACCCUCCGCAGUGGAGAUACAUUUGGAGUCGGGAUGACAUGGAUUGAGCUCUGCUGAACAAAAGUCCAACAAUUGUUCGCAGUAUUCUCCUACAGAACAAGAGGGAAAACAGUUGACCAGGUAUUGGCUACGGGAUGUCAGCCUGAAGAGCUGCCCAAUAUAAGUGAGCUAACCUAAAAACAGACCAACAAUAGAAAGGGGGAGGCACACCAAUAUAUAGAAACCAGAAGAACGUAUUCACAACUUGCAACAUUGAAAAUAAAUCACAUCCGCAAAUGUAUGAACAUGGCAGCAUGCCCGACCAGCCAGUAUGACCAGGAAGUACAGAACUAAGAUCCCACC
Long non-coding RNA from Hyla sarda, 676 nucleotides. RefSeq lists it as uncharacterized. The record is from RefSeq and is a predicted model, not a curated record. The transcript is spliced from 6 exons. Lineage: Eukaryota; Metazoa; Chordata; Amphibia; Anura; Hylidae.